AAGGAUCAUUAUCACGUAUCCACGUAUAAACCAAACGCGAACUGUCUGACCUUCAGAAAGCAAUCUAACGCUGGAUGUUCAUCAAAGUCCGUUGUUGUGUGGUUUGGACUUGAACAUCUGCUGUGUGUGCUGUCUUCGGACUCACUCCGACUGCUAUGCCUUCUGAAGCGUAUUUUAACCCACUUUUAAUUCUUUUAUUAACCACUUAAACCAAUCGUUUUUCUUUGUUUGAACUGAAUUGUUUCUUACUCUGUCUUUUGGUCUUCGGGCCGAAGCAGAGAAGAAAUCUUUUACGAAACAUAAGAACAACUCUUAGCAACGGAUAUCUUGGUUCUC
This 336-nucleotide unclassified non-coding RNA is filed under the name uncultured fungus. Its description in RNAcentral is "partial contains 18S rRNA, ITS1, 5.8S rRNA, ITS2 and 28S rRNA". Lineage: Eukaryota; Fungi. The record is from RNAcentral.